RNAcentral lists this transfer RNA (85 nucleotides) under Felis catus (domestic cat). It matches the Rfam family "tRNA". From Rfam's summary of the family: Transfer RNA (tRNA) molecules are approximately 80 nucleotides in length. Lineage: Eukaryota; Metazoa; Chordata; Mammalia; Carnivora; Felidae. The record is from Rfam by way of RNAcentral.
ACCUGGGUGGCUCAGUCAGUUGAGCAUCUGACUUGGGCUCAGGUCGUGAUCUCACGGUUCGUGGGUUCAAGCCCCGCAUCGGGCU